RNAcentral lists this ribosomal RNA (164 nucleotides) under Koenigia fertilis. RNAcentral's name for it is "5.8S ribosomal RNA". It matches the Rfam family "5.8S ribosomal RNA". From Rfam's summary of the family: 5.8S ribosomal RNA (5.8S rRNA) is a component of the large subunit of the eukaryotic ribosome. It is transcribed by RNA polymerase I as part of the 45S precursor that also contains 18S and 28S rRNA. Functionally, it is thought that 5.8S rRNA may be involved in ribosome translocation. Lineage: Eukaryota; Viridiplantae; Streptophyta; Magnoliopsida; Caryophyllales; Polygonaceae. The record is from RNAcentral.
UUAAACGACUCUCGGCAACGGAUAUCUCGGCUCUCGCAUCGAUGAAGAACGUAGCGAAAUGCGAUACUUGGUGUGAAUUGCAGAAUCCCGUGAACCAUCGAGUCUUUGAACGCAAGUUGCGCUCGAAGCCUUCGGGCCAAGGGCACGCCUGCCUGGGCGUCACG